Molecule: long non-coding RNA, 1002 nt
Filed under: Anser brachyrhynchus (Pink-footed goose)
Lineage: Eukaryota; Metazoa; Chordata; Aves; Anseriformes; Anatidae
Description: lncRNA (ENSABRG00000016906.1)
Source: RNAcentral
AUGUGCUGGCCUUUGUGGGACUUUGUGAUACUUUUCCUUCCGUUCAAUUAUCGCUGUGAGCAGCGAAACGCCGCGGCAAACGCAGCUCUGUCAUUCCGUUUGUUCCCUGGCAGCCGACGGGUCUUUAACCAAGUAAUUAAGGGCUGGUUUUGCUCGUACCUGAGAUCCAACCAGCGAGGCAGAGAUAAGACUGCAAUAUUUCUCAAAGCUCAGCAGGGAGCAAGUCCUCUCCUCACCCACCAAAAGCAUCACCUCACCAUGCCGGGGAUAAAACCCUCCUGGAGUGCCGAACGCCAGAGCUUCCACUGCAGGUGCUUUGCCCACCGUCUGCCACCCCCAGCAUGUCGCCGAGACGAAGUCCCUGCAGGUUUCCAGGUUUCAACAAGGACGGUAAGCACAGAGAGACCCCAACUGAUGUGUCCGUCCCUUCUCUGCUCCAAGGAUGACCUACUCAAAGCUGCACACAGAUUUAGAAAAUUUAUUUUAAUUUCUAUUCACGCUCUCUAGCCCUUUCUGAAAUUAUUAAUUUCUGCUUUUUUAAGGUUCUGGGCUUUAUUAUCCACUCAGUAAGACAGGACUAACAGUCUUUGGCCUGUGUAUUCAGACUGUGAACUCUUCCAUCUCGAGACCGUUCCUAGUUGGUCUGGCUGGGAAUUGGUGGUCUAAUUUUCAGAUGGGACCUACGCACACGCAGUUUUACAACGAGCAGUAAGGAAAGUCCCCACACGUCCCUCCUGACUCAGAUAGGCAGGACUGUUCACGCCACCCAGACAAAUGCAGGAAGCAGCUGCCACAGCCAACAUACCUUUCAAGAGCUGACAAAUCUUUCCUAGCGUGAAGGGGAUUGGAAGUCUAAACAUUUACUUUUGUGCACGCCCAAAUUAUUUAGCUCUCAGCAUGGGUCAAGCAAUAUGUUUCCUUUAGAUACUACGAUGUUUUAUUUUCUUUUUGACUCGUUAAACUUUAUUUGAACUUGCAUUAUAUAAAUUAAAUAAAUUCAAU